Molecule: ribosomal RNA, 418 nt
Filed under: Fusobacteriota bacterium
Lineage: Bacteria; Fusobacteriati; Fusobacteriota
Description: Fusobacteria bacterium partial 16S ribosomal RNA
Rfam family: Bacterial small subunit ribosomal RNA
Source: RNAcentral
UGGGGGAUAUUGCACAAUGGGCGAAAGCCUGAUGCAGCGACGCCGCGUGGGGGAUGAAGGCCUUCGGGUUGUAAACUUCUUUUGCUCUGAACAAGGCAUGCCUUUGGGGUGUGUUGAGUGUAGGGGUUGAUUAGCGCCGGCUAACUACGUGCCAGCAGCCGCGGUAAUACGUAGGGCGCGAGCGUUGUCCGGAAUUAUUGGGCGUAAAGGGCUUGUAGGUGGCUGGUUGCGUCUGUCGUGAAAGCUCAUGGCUUAACUGUGGGUUUGCGGUGGGUACGGGCUGGCUUGAGUGCAGUAGGGGAGGCUGGAAUUCCUGGUGUAGCGGUGGAAUGCGCAGAUAUCAGGAGGAAUACCGGUGGCGAAGGCGGGUCUCUGGGCUGUUACUGACGCUGAGGAGCGAAAGCGUGGGGAGCGAACA